UACAGAGGGGGCAAGCGUUGUUCGGAAUUACUGGGCGUAAAGGGCGCGUAGGCGGCCUUCUAAGUCGAACGUGAAAUCCCCGGGCUCAACCCGGGAACUGCGUCCGAUACUGGAAGGCUUGAAUCCGGGAGAGGGAUGCGGAAUUCCAGGUGUAGCGGUGAAAUGCGUAGAUAUCUGGAGGAACACCAAUGGCGAAGGCAGCUCGCUGGGACGUUACUGACGCUGAGACGCGAAAGCGUGGGGAGCGAACAGG
This 253-nucleotide ribosomal RNA is filed under the name uncultured bacterium. RNAcentral's name for it is "partial 16S ribosomal RNA". It matches the Rfam family "Bacterial small subunit ribosomal RNA", at positions 524 to 776 of the family's 1533-position model. The record is from RNAcentral.